GUCCACGCCGUAAACGAUGGGCACUAGGUGCUUAGGGGAGCGACCCUCUGGGUACCGGCGCUAACGCAUGAAGUGCCCCGCCUGGGGAGUACGGCCGCAAGGCUGAAACUCAAAGGAAUUGACGGGGCCCGCACAAGCGGUGGAGCAUGUGGUUUAAUUCGACGCAACGCGCAGAACCUUACCUAGGCUUGACAUGCACGGGAAAGCUGCUGGAAACAGUGGCCCCUCUUCGGAGCCCCGUGCACAGGUGCUGCAUGGCUGUCGU
This 265-nucleotide ribosomal RNA is filed under the name uncultured bacterium. RNAcentral's name for it is "partial 16S ribosomal RNA". It matches the Rfam family "Bacterial small subunit ribosomal RNA", at positions 793 to 1055 of the family's 1533-position model. The record is from RNAcentral.